This 375-nucleotide ribosomal RNA is filed under the name uncultured organism. Its description in RNAcentral is "partial 16S ribosomal RNA". It matches the Rfam family "Bacterial small subunit ribosomal RNA", at positions 527 to 896 of the family's 1533-position model. The record is from RNAcentral.
GGAGGGUGCAAGCGUUGUUCGGAAUUAUUGGGCGUAAAGAGCGUGUAGGCGGUUCGGUAAGUCAGAUGUGAAAGCCCUGGGCUCAACCCAGGAAGUGCAUUUGAAACUACCUGACUUGAGUACGGGAGAGGAGGGGGGAAUUCCCGGUGUAGAGGUGAAAUUCGUAGAUAUCGGGAGGAAUACCAGUGGCGAAGGCGCCCCUCUGGACCGAUACUGACGCUGAGACGCGAAAGCGUGGGGAGCAAACAGGAUUAGAUACCCUGGGUAGUCCACGCCGUAAACGAUGAGCACUAGGUGUAGCGGGUAUUGACCCCCCUGCUGUGCCGUAGCUAACGCAUUAAGUGCUCCGCCUGGGGGACUACGGUCGCAAGACUA